AACGAACGCUGGCGGCAGGCCUAACACAUGCAAGUCGAGCGAGGACUUCGGUUCUAGCGGCGGACGGGUGAGUAACGCGUGGGAAUGUGCCCUUCUCUACGGAAUAGCCCUGGGAAACUGGGAGUAAUACCGUAUACGCCCUAUUGGGGAAAGAUUUAUCGGAGAAGGAUCAGCCCGCGUUGGAUUAGGUAGUUGGUGGGGUAAUGGCCUACCAAGCCGACGAUCCAUAGCUGGUUUGAGAGGAUGAUCAGCCACACUGGGACUGAGACCCGGCCCAGACUCCUGCGGGAGGAGGAGGGGGGGAUUUUUAGAAAAGGGGGGCACCCUGUACCGCCCCCGCCGGUGGGAGUAAAAAAGCCUUGGGGGUGGAAAACCCUUUUCAGCGGGGAAGAAAGGGCGGGUACAAAAAAAAGAGGCCCCGCCAACCCCGGUC
Molecule: ribosomal RNA, 433 nt
Filed under: uncultured bacterium
Lineage: Bacteria
Description: partial 16S ribosomal RNA
Rfam family: Bacterial small subunit ribosomal RNA
Source: RNAcentral